This is a long non-coding RNA of Ictalurus punctatus (channel catfish), 2502 nucleotides long. Lineage: Eukaryota; Metazoa; Chordata; Actinopteri; Siluriformes; Ictaluridae. The record is from Ensembl.
GAACUAGAUUUGUUAUUGUACUUUUGAUGAAAAGUGACUUUCUAGACAUAAAAUGUCACUUUUUUCACCUUAUCAUACUUUUUCAUCAACUUUUGCAUUUUAAUGUAAACAAUCCUAUUUCGUAAUAUUUUGGGUCAGAAACAUUUCAUAGUACUAUAUUAUGUGUAAAUAUGCGACAAGAAUCAAAUUGGAGUAGGUCGGGCAACUGAUUAUAUGAGUUUGUUAGAAAAACCACUUUCCUUUGCUCCUAGCGCCUUCUAGUUCGCUGUAUAGCGUUUUGAGCGGAUAAAGAGCACAAGUGUGUAAGGGGACACAGGAUGAAUGUGAACUAGUUUUGUUAUUGUACUUUUGAUGAAAAGUCACUUUCUAGACAUAAAAUGUCACUUUUUUCACCUUAUCAUACUUUUUCAUCAACUUUUGCAUUUUAAUGUAAACAAUCCUAUUUCGUAAUAUUUUGGGUCAGAAACAUUUCAUAGUACUAUAUUAUGUGUAAAUAUGUGAAAAGAAUCAAAUUGGAGUAGGUCGGGCAACUGAUUAUAUGAGUUUGUGUUAAAAACCACUUUCCUUUGCUCCUAGCGCCUUCUCGUUCGCUGUAUAGCGUUUUGAGCGGAUAAAGAGCACAAGUGUGUAAGGGGACACAGGAUGAAUGUGAACUAGAUUUGUUAUUGUACUUUUGAUGAAAAGUGACUUUCUAGACAUAAAAUGUCACUUUUUUCACCUUAUCAUACUUUUUCAUCAACUUUUGCAUUUUAAUGUAAACAAUCGCAUUUCAUAAUAUUUUGGGUCAGAAACAUUUCAUAGUACUAUAUUAUGUCUAACUAUGUGAAAAGAAUCAAAUUGGAGUAGGUCGGGCAACUGAUUAUAUGAGUUUGUUAGAAAAACCACUUUCCUUUGCUCCUAGCGCCUUCUAGUUCGCUGUAUAGCGUUUUGAGCGGAUAAAGAGCACAAGUGUGUAAGGGGACACAGGAUGAAUGUGAACUAGAUUUGUUAUUGUACUUUUGAUGAAAACUGACUUUCUAGACAUAAAAUGUCACUUUUUUCACCUUAUCAUACUUUUUCAUCAACUGUUGCAUUUUAAUGUAAACAAUCCUAUUUCGUAAUAUUUUGGGUCAGAAACAUUUCAUAGUACUAUAUUAUGUGUAAAUAUGCGACAAGAAUCAAAUUGGAGUAGGUCGGGCAACUGAUUAUAUGAGUUUGUUAGAAAAACCACUUUCCUUUGCUCCUAGCGCCUUCUCGUUUGCUCUAUAGCGUUUUGAGCGGAUAAAGAGCACAAGUGUGUAAGGAGACACAGGAUGAAUGCGAACUACUUUUGUUAUUGUACUUUUGAUGAAAACUGACUUUCUAGACAUAAAAUGUCACUUUUUUCACCUUAUCAUACUUUUUCAUCAACUUUUGCAUUUUAAUGUAAACAAUCAUAUUUCGUAAUAUUUUGGGUCAGAAACAUCUCUUAGUACUAUAUUAUGUCUAACUAUGUGAAAAAAAUCAAAUUGGAGUAGGUCGGGCAACUGAUUAUAUGAGUUUGUUAGAAAAACCACUUUCCUUUGCUCCUAGCGCCUUCUCGUUCGCUCUAUAGCGUUUUGAGCGGAUAAAGAGCACAAGUGUGUAAGGGGACACAGGAUGAAUGUGAACUAGAUUUGUUAUUGUACUUUUGAUGAAAAGUGACUUUCUAGACAUAAAAUGUCACUUUUUUCACCUUAUCAUACUUUUUCAUCAACUUUUGCAUUUUAAUGUAAACAAUCAUAUUUCAUAAUAUUUUGGGUCAGAAACAUUUCUUAGUACUAUAUUAUGUCUAACUAUGUGAAAAAAAUCAAAUUGGAGUAGGUCGGGCAACUGAUUAUAUGAGUUUGUUAGAAAAACCACUUUCCUUUGCUCCUAGCGCCUUCUCGUUCGCUCUAUAGUGUUUUGAGCGGAUAAAGAGCACAAGUGUGUAAGGAGACACAGGAUGCAUGCGAACUACUUUUGUUAUUGUACUUUUGAUGAAAACUGACUUUCUAGACAUAAAAUGUCACUUUUUUCACCUUAUCAUACUUUUUCAUCAACUUUUGCAUUUUAAUGUAAACAAUCAUAUUUCGUAAUAUUUGGGUCAGAAACAUUUCUUAGUACUAUAUUAUGUCUAACUAUGUGAAAAAAAUCAACAAAAGUAGUUCGCAUUCAUCCUGUGUCUCCUUACACACUUGUGCUCUUUAUCCGCUCAAAACGCUAUAGAGCGAACGAGAAGGCGCUAGGAGCAAAGGAAAGUGGUUUUUCUAACAAACUCAUAUAAUCAGUUGCCCGACCUACUCCAAUUUGAUUUUUUUCACAUAGUUAGACAUAAUAUAGCACUAAGAGAUGUUUCUGACCCAAAAUAUUACGAAAUAUGAUUGUUUACAUUAAAAUGCAAAAGUUGAUGAAAAAGUAUGAUAAGGUGAAAAAAGUGACAUUUUAUGUCUAGAAAGUCAGUUUUCAUCAAAAGUACAAUAACAAAAGUAGUUCGCAUUCAUCCUGUGUCUCCUUACACACUUU